This 773-nucleotide long non-coding RNA is filed under the name Pongo abelii (Sumatran orangutan). RNAcentral describes it as "lincRNA". The record is from RNAcentral. Lineage: Eukaryota; Metazoa; Chordata; Mammalia; Primates; Hominidae.
AAAUUAAAUAUUCUUUUGGAUAUAAAUUUCAACAGUAGAUAGCUGCCUAGUGGAAAUGAAUAAUAUCCCAGCCACUAGUGUACAGGGUGUUUUGUGGCACAGGAUUAUGUAAUAUGGAACUGCUCAAGCAAAUAACUAGUCAUCACAACAGCAGUUCUUUGUAAUAACUGAAAAAGAAUAUUGUUUCUCGGAGAAGGAUGUCAAAAGAUCGGCCCAGCUCAGGGAGCAGUUUGCCCUACUAGCUCCUCGGACAGCUGUAAGAAGAGUCUCUGGCUCUUUAGAAUACUGAUCCCAUUGAAGAUACCACGCUGCAUGUGUCCUUAGUAGUCAUGUCUCCUUAGGCUCCUCUUGGACAUUCUGAGCAUGUGAGACCUGAGGACUGCAAACAGCUGUCAGAGGCUCCAAAUUCAGCAUAUCUUUCCUUUUGAGAAUCUGGCCAAGCUCCAGCUAAUCUACUUGGAUGGGUUGCCAGCUAUCUGGAGAAAAAGGUGGAGAUGGGGCAUGAGGAUCCUCCAGGGGAAAAGCUCACUACCACUGGGCAACAACCCUAGGUCAGGAGGUUCUGUCAAGAUACUUUCCUGGUCCCAGAUAGGAAGAUAAAGUCUCAAAAACAACCACCACAAGUCAAGCUCUUCAUUGUUCCUAUCUGCCAAAUCAUUAUACUUCCUACAAGCGGUGCGGAGAGCUGAGUCUUCAGCAGGUCCAAGAAAUUUGAACACACUGAAGGAAGUCAGCCUUCCCACCUGAAGAUCAACGUGCCUGGCACUCUAGCA